CCUUUAGGAUGUGAUGGGGAAGCCCUUCGGGGCGAAGUAGCUGAUUUCACACUGUCAAGAAAAGCUUCUAUCGAGUUUAAAGGCGCCCGUACCGUAAACCGACACAGGUGGGUGAGGAGAGUAUCCUAAGGCCAGCGAGAGAACUAUUGUUAAGGAACUCGGCAAAAUGACCCCGUAACUUAGGGAGAAGGGGUGCCUGUCUAUGACAGGCCGCAGAGAAUAGGCCCAAGCACUGUUUACCAAAAACACAGGUUUCUGCUAAGUCGCAAGACGAUGUAUAGGAGCUGACGCCUGCCCGGUGCUGGAAGGUUAAGGGGAUCUGUUAGAGCAAUCGAAGCGGUGAACUUAAGCCCCAGUAAACGGCGGCCGUAACUAUAACGGUCCUAAGGUAGCGAAAUUCCUUGUCGGGUAAGUUCCGACCCGCACGAAAGGCGUAACGAUUUGGGCACUGUCUCAACAAUAGACUCGGUGAAAUUGUAAUCCCGGUGAAGAUGCCGGGUACCUGCGACAGGACGGAAAGACCCCAUGGAGCUUUACUGUAGCUUGACGUUGGGUCUUGGUACUACAUGUACAGGAUAGGUGGGAGACUAUGAAGCAUGGACGCCAGUCUGUGUGGAGUCAUCCUUGGGAUACCACCCUUGUAGUACUGGGAUCCUAACCAUAGGCCUUGAAUCAGGUCUUGGAACACCGUCAGGUGGGCAGUUUGACUGGGGCGGUCGCCUCCUAAAAAGUAACGGAGGCGCUCAAAGGUUUCCUCAGCACGGUCGGAAAUCGUGCGAAGAGUGUAAAGGCAAAAGGAAGCUUGAUUGCAAGACAUACAGGUCGAGCAAGGACGAAAGUCGGACUUAGUGAUCCGGUGGUACCGCAUGGAAGGGCCAUCGCUCAACGGAUAAAAGCUACCCUGGGGAUAACAGGCUUAUCUCCCCCAAGAGUCCACAUCGACGGGGAGGUUUGGCACCUCGAUGUCGGCUCAUCACAUCCUGGGGCUGUAGUAGGUCCCAAGGGUUGGGCUGUUCGCCCAUUAAAGUGGUACGCGAGCUGGGUUCAGAACGUCGUGAGACAGUUCGGUCCCUAUCCGUCGCAGGCGUAGGGAAUUUGAGAAGACCUGUCCUUAGUACGAGAGGACCGGGAUGGACGUACCUCUGGUGUACCAGUUGUUCUGCCAAGGGCAUGGCUGGGUAGCUAUGUACGGAAUGGAUAAGCGCUGAAAGCAUCUAAGCGCGAAGCCAACUUCAAGAUAAGAUUUCCCACCGUAAGGGUAAGACCCCAGGAAGACUACCUGGUUGAUAGGUCGAAGGUGUAAGUGCAGUAAUGUAUUUAGCUUAUCGAUACUAAUAGGUCGAGGACUUGACCU
This 1354-nucleotide ribosomal RNA is filed under the name metagenome. Its description in RNAcentral is "bacterial LSU rRNA". It matches the Rfam family "Bacterial large subunit ribosomal RNA", at positions 1553 to 2925 of the family's 2925-position model. The record is from RNAcentral.